This 998-nucleotide long non-coding RNA is filed under the name Homarus americanus (American lobster). Its description in RNAcentral is "uncharacterized LOC121862251, transcript variant X2". Lineage: Eukaryota; Metazoa; Arthropoda; Malacostraca; Decapoda; Nephropidae. The record is from RNAcentral.
UGCAGGGAGUCGAGACUCUUGUCUGACGAACCCGAGACAUCUACAGUAUGUUGCCUGGAGUGAGUCAACGUUGUUACUGGAGCUCCUCAUUUCGUCCAUUUAUUGAGGUUUUGGCUGGAAGACGGGGUAUAGAGCAGUGAUUGGCCGGUGGAGAGCAGUGCUCAUUGAGACACAGGAGGAAGUGUUGCCGGUCGUCUCUCACCUGACACGCUGUUCUUUAAAGAUGAUGGAUCCAAUUGGUUGUGUAGCUGCCGUGCUGAAGACCAGUUCGCUGCAUCAGUGGUCGUCAGCGUGGGUCACCUUAUUGGCUGAGGAUGAUGACUUAAAGAUGAAGGAUCCAACAAAUGACCCAAGAGUUUUCUGGUGAACGGACUCUUGCUGCACGGCCUUGCACCAGUCCAGGGUGGGGGUACAGUCCAAGAAAUAUUAUUCUGGACUUUGUGGUCAGUGGUUACCACCAAGCUGGACUGCCUGCUGCUGCCGCCUCCCUGGCCACUGUCCUGUCCUGGGCUGGCUGCUGCCUCCCUGUCCUGGCUGCUGCUGCCGCCGCCUCCCUGGCCACUGCUUCUGCCGCCUUGGAUGCCUACUGCAGCCGCCCUAGACACUGUCCUGUCCUGGCCACUGCCUGCUGCUGCCCUAGACACCAUCCUGUCCUGGGCUGGCCACUGCUGCUGCUGCCCUGGACUGCCUGCUGCUGCCACAGCCUAGACACUGUCUGUCUGGGCUGGCCACUGCUGCUGCCCUAGACACCAUCCUGUCCUGGGCUGGCCACUGCUGCCCUGGACUGCCUGCUGCUGCAGCCCUAGACACUGUCCUGCCCUGGACUGCCUCCUGCUGCUGCCCUAGACACUGUCCUGUCCUGGGCUGGCCACUGCUGCUGCCCUAGACACUGUCCUGUCCUGGGUUGGCCACUGCUGCUGCAGCCCUAGACACUGUCCUGUCCUGGGCUGGCCACUGCUGCCCUGGACUGCCUGCUGCUGCAGCCCUAGACACUGUCA